Molecule: ribosomal RNA, 490 nt
Filed under: uncultured bacterium
Lineage: Bacteria
Description: partial 16S ribosomal RNA
Rfam family: Bacterial small subunit ribosomal RNA
Source: RNAcentral
AUUGAACGCUGGCGGCAUGCCUUACACAUGCAAGUCGAACGGCAGCAUGAUCUAGCUUGCUAGAUUGAUGGCGAGUGGCGAACGGGUGAGUAAUACAUCGGAACGUGCCCUGUAGUGGGGGAUAACUAGUCGAAAGAGUAGCUAAUACCGCAUACGACCUGAGGGUGAAAGUGGGGGACCGCAAGGCCUCAUGCUAUAGGAGCGGCCGAUGUCUGAUUAGCUAGUUGGUGAGGUAAAGGCUCACCAAGGCGACGAUCAGUAGCUGGUCUGAGAGGACGAUCAGCCACACUGGGACUGAGACACGGCCCAGACUCCUACGGGAGGCAGCAGUGGGGAAUUUUGGACAAUGGGCGAAAGCCUGAUCCAGCAAUGCCGCGUGUGUGAAGAAGGCCUUCGGGUUGUAAAGCACUUUUGUCCGGAAAGAAAUGGCUCUGGUUAAUACCUGGGGUCGAUGACGGUACCGGAAGAAUAAGGACCGGCUAACUACGUG